CCUACGGGCGGCAGCAGUGAGGAAUAUUGGUCAAUGGGCGUAAGCCUGAACCAGCCAAGCCGCGUGAGGGAUGAAGGUUCUCUGGAUCGUAAACCUCUUUUGUAAGGGAAUAAAGUGUGGGACGUGUCCUCUUUUGUAUGUACCUUAUGAAUAAGGAUCGGCUAACUCCGUGCCAGCAGCCGCGGUAAUACGGAGGAUCCGAGCGUUAUCCGGAUUUAUUGGGUUUAAAGGGUGCGUAGGCGGGCUUGUAAGUCAGCGGUGAAAGCCUGUGGCUCAACCAUAGAAUUGCCGUUGAAACUGGGGGGCUUGAGUAUGUGUGAGGCAGGCGGAAUGCGUGGUGUAGCGGUGAAAUGCUUAGAUAUCACGCAGAACCCCGAUGGCGAAGGCAGCCUGCCAGGCCAUGACUGACGCUGAUGCACGAAAGCGUGGGGAUCAAACAGGAUUAGAUACCCCUGUAGUC
RNAcentral lists this ribosomal RNA (460 nucleotides) under uncultured bacterium. RNAcentral's name for it is "partial 16S ribosomal RNA". It matches the Rfam family "Bacterial small subunit ribosomal RNA", at positions 338 to 795 of the family's 1533-position model. The record is from RNAcentral.